This 253-nucleotide ribosomal RNA is filed under the name uncultured bacterium. RNAcentral's name for it is "partial 16S ribosomal RNA". It matches the Rfam family "Bacterial small subunit ribosomal RNA", at positions 524 to 776 of the family's 1533-position model. The record is from RNAcentral.
UACGAAGGGGGCUAGCGUUACUCGGAUUGACUGGGCGUAAAGGGCGCGUAGGCGGAUGGUACAGUCAGACGUGAAAUUCCUGGGCUCAACCUGGGGGCUGCGUUUGAUACGUGCUGUCUGGAGUUCGGAAGAGGGUCGUGGAAUUCCCAGUGUAGAGGUGAAAUUCGUAGAUAUUGGGAAGAACACCGGUGGCGAAGGCGGCGACCUGGUCCGAUACUGACGCUGAGGCGCGAAAGCGUGGGGAGCAAACAGG